GUGCUUUCAUGGCACAUAUCCUAAAAUUGAAAUGAUAUAGUAAAGAUUUGGAUGGUUUUAGCACAAGGAUGAUGCACAAAUUUAUAAGCAAAAUAAUGACUAA
Sarcophilus harrisii (Tasmanian devil) is the source of this 103-nucleotide small nuclear RNA. The record is from Ensembl. NCBI's taxonomy places the organism in Eukaryota, Metazoa, Chordata, Mammalia, Dasyuromorphia, Dasyuridae.